AAAGGUGCUUGAUGAUGUCCAAAUUACACCUCCUCAUAGAAGAUGAUACUAUCAUUGUCAAAAUAUAGUAACUCAACAGAGAUUGGGGUCGAAUCCCAAGGGAACACAUGGAAUUGUGGAUCUCAGUAGUUAUAGUCAAUGGUAAUAAUAAGAAAAGUAAAUGGGGAGGGGGGAUUCUAUAGUAAUCACAAGAAAGUAUCUGUAUCAACUUCAGUUGUAAUCAGCCAUAGGUGAAUACUGGGAUUCUGUCCCCCC
Molecule: long non-coding RNA, 255 nt
Filed under: Capsicum annuum
Lineage: Eukaryota; Viridiplantae; Streptophyta; Magnoliopsida; Solanales; Solanaceae
Description: long non-coding RNA (CANN_LNC021114)
Source: RNAcentral